Schistosoma mansoni is the source of this 45-nucleotide non-coding RNA. Lineage: Eukaryota; Metazoa; Platyhelminthes; Trematoda; Strigeidida; Schistosomatidae. The record is from Rfam.
AUCCAGCUGACUAGUCGCAAAUAGGACGAAACCUGUGUUCUAGAU